UACGUAGGGGGCUAGCGUUGUCCGGAUUUAUUGGGCGUAAAGAGCGUGUAGGCGGCCAGGUAGGUCUGCUGUGAAAACUCGAGGCUCAACCUCGAGACGUCGGCGGAAACCAUCUGGCUAGAGUCCGGAAGAGGAGAGUGGAAUUCCUGGUGUAGCGGUGAAAUGCGCAGAUAUCAGGAAGAACACCCGUGGUGAAGGCGGCUCUCUGGGACGGUACUGACGCUGAGACGUGAAAGCGUGGGGAGCGAACAGG
This 253-nucleotide ribosomal RNA is filed under the name uncultured bacterium. Its description in RNAcentral is "partial 16S ribosomal RNA". It matches the Rfam family "Bacterial small subunit ribosomal RNA", at positions 524 to 776 of the family's 1533-position model. The record is from RNAcentral.